This is a non-coding RNA of Misgurnus anguillicaudatus (oriental weatherfish), 1789 nucleotides long. Lineage: Eukaryota; Metazoa; Chordata; Actinopteri; Cypriniformes; Cobitidae. The record is from RefSeq and is a predicted model, not a curated record.
UCCAUACACAAAAUUGAUCCACACACAUGUUGAGGGAGAGGCAAUUUGGCAUCUUCAAUUCACCUAUCCUGCAUGUUUUUGGCCUGUGGGAGGAAAACGGGAGUAGCCGGAGGGAGUACAUGCAAACUCCAUACAUAAAGGCCACCUGACCUAGCCAGUGCUACCCCCUGAGCCACAGUGCCACCAUACCAACCCAGGAGUCCUGGUGUUGUAUAAAGAGGACACGUCAGAGACAUGGAUAGCAGUGAGAAAUAUGUGGUAAUUAUUAUCUUCUGAAUAGCCAUCUGUCAUCUAUUCCCCUGCAGCUAUAAGCUGCUUCCACAUUCACGAUGCGGUGAAACUGGUUGACAUAGAGGACAUGUUGGGGUUCAAGACUGUUGCUCUGUGAUGUCAAGAGGCUAUUGAUGUGAGAAUAAGCAUCUCCGCCCUGACCGACACUGGGGGUGUGCGAAGGGACCGAGGACUAGCCCGAGGCUCCAAAAAUCAGCUUAUGUGCAGCAAAGUAGAGGCUCGGAUGGCUCCUGUGCAGGAUUUGUGCCAGGAGAUAGUGGCAAAGAGGAGCUCAGCUCGGCACACUGUCUGGAUAUCCAGGCCAAGAUGUAAGCAUUUGACUGAGUGGAUUAGUGGAGCAGCGAGCCGGCAUUUACUGGGCAGUAUUCGGUAUCCAAAGUACCCCGUAUCAAAGGAUCAAAGCCCCCCACAGAUGGCAUAUGAAGAGUCAUCUAUAGUUUUUACACCAGUCAAGAAAAUGUGAUGGUCAGACUGGGAAGGAGCAGGGACCCUGUAGAAGUGGGAAUCAUGGUUGCAAACAUAUGAACACACCGAGGAACAAAUGAAGUACAGUGCAAAGCAUAAUUUGGGCCCCUAAAUCAUCACCCCUCCGUGUGACAACCCUGCCAGAUGCUUGCCAGCACUCCUCAAAAAACAGAGCAUUCAAUGCAACUGGCCAAAUACAACACUGGCACUGUGCCGGACCCGUUUGCUGUGCUGGCACUCGCCCACAUCCAAAACAGCGCUGGCGAUGGUGAAGGAACCUGGGAAAGGUUGCAGGAACUUCAGACCCAUGGACACUAUAAAACCAUCACACAGACUUAGUAUUAUGUGGAGGUCUUUGCUGAAAAUCUAGCAGGAUUCGAAAUAGAUGGAGAAGAUUGAACGCAGGACAGAAAUAGCACAGACGCUCAACACUUAGAAGUUAUUUAAAAUGAUUACUAAAUCAUUUAGGCCUGUGACAUUCUUCUGGCAUGUUAUCGUACGUCUGUCACUUUUAGAAGAAGUCCAGCUUUAUUUAUAGUAACAAGAUCUUUAUAUGGGUGCAUGUAUUGAUUUUCACGAUUUAAUGAGUUUUCGAGCUACGCAAUAAAACACUUUACGCUGCGAUAUCAGUCUAAUGUCAGUUUUUAUGCUAAAUGAAGCAAGCCAAAGUUAUGUUACUAAGCCAAUGCCAAUGUGUGAACAAUACUGGCCGUGAAAAUCCUUGCUUUUUUGCUAAAUUCUGACAUUUGAGAAAUAAAAACAGCUGUGUAAUUUCACUUGUAAUUAUGUUGUUUUGAGUCUUUUCUGGAUGGAGUUAUUUUUUUAGCAGAAAACAAAUCCAAGUGCUAAAAAUACACAGAAGCUAACUCGUUUUUACUUGACGCGUAUGUGCUUGUGUAUGCAUAUUCAUAGCACACCUUUCUCCUGGUGCCCUUUGCCACACUUGGACUUGGGAAAGCUUGAAAAAAGUCACCACUGGUCCCAAUAAUCACUGCAUACGUAGACUUGCAACUCUGCCAGCAGCGCUGGGAGU